RNAcentral lists this ribosomal RNA (497 nucleotides) under uncultured bacterium. RNAcentral's name for it is "partial 16S ribosomal RNA". It matches the Rfam family "Bacterial small subunit ribosomal RNA", at positions 28 to 507 of the family's 1533-position model. The record is from RNAcentral.
GGUGAACGCUGGCGGCGUGCCUAAUACAUGCAAGUCGAGCGAACAGACGAGGAGCUUGCUCCUUCGACGUUAGCGGCGGACGGGUGAGUAACACGUAGGUAACCUACCUAUAAGGCUGGGAUAACUUCGGGAAACCGGAGCUAAUACCGGAUAAUAUUUCGAACCGCAUGGUUCGAUAGUGAAAGAUGGCUUUGCUAUCACUUAUAGAUGGACCUGCGCCGUAUUAGCUAGUUGGUAAGGUAACGGCUUACCAAGGCAACGAUACGUAGCCGACCUGAGAGGGUGAUCGGCCACACUGGAACUGAGACACGGUCCAGACUCCUACGGGAGGCAGCAGUAGGGAAUCUUCCGCAAUGGGCGAAAGCCUGACGGAGCAACGCCGCGUGAGUGAUGAAGGUCUUCGGAUCGUAAAACUCUGUUAUUAGGGAAGAACAAACGUGUAAGUAACUGUGCACGUCUUGACGGUACCUAAUCAGAAAGCCACGGCUAACUACGUG